Paramuricea clavata is the source of this 292-nucleotide non-coding RNA. The record is from the annotation of a GenBank genome assembly. Lineage: Eukaryota; Metazoa; Cnidaria; Anthozoa; Malacalcyonacea; Plexauridae.
CUCUAUUUCUAAUAUGUCCGGAAAUAGAUAAAGGCGAGGGCCUAGAUUUUGGCCGACACUAAAUUAUAAUGAUAUAUUAUUCAUUGUCAUAAUAAACAACAACAAAUUGAAAAUUUUACACGAAAAUUGUUAUACCAAAAUACACGUACCGGCAACGGAGUAUAGGAUUUGGACAUGCAUAGGGAGGAGGAGGGCUGCCAAAAGAUCUGUCCACGCGGGAAGUCAAAGUUGAAAAGGUUGAAGAACAGGUGUUCUAACGAAUACGAGUGUUGUGUUGUGUUGUGUUGUUUUG